UAUUCAUUUAGCAAAUUAAAAAUUGUAAAUUGAAAAACAGAUCAUCUCCAUCAUCUAAAUAAAAUUUGGUUCGAUACACAUAAUACAGUAUCCAAGGAAUGGGUUGAUUCCAGGAAAAACUCAGAUAAAAACACUAACAAAUUUUGAUAUAUACACUAAACUAACUGGCGUUUUCUUCACUGGAACACGCUGUGUCUUUUAAUAAUUUUGUUAGGCUUGUAAUUAACUUUUCAAAAAUAUGUAACACGUAAGAGGUAUUGCAGAUACAAAACAUAUAUCACUAUUUUUUUUAUAAGUUGGUCAAAAGGGUGUCUGUUUUUCUAAUACACUUUAGUUCCCGCACAGUCAAAACCGAGAGGAGAAACAACCUCCCGGAAAUGUAUGAAGUGGCUCGCAGUCGUCAGUAAUGAAUCUGAUGUAAAAUUACACUUUUCGCACACUCGAUCGACAUGUAAUUGGGUAUUUUACAGCAGGAAAUAGAAAAAUUGAGUUGUCUGAAUCAAAUAUUUUAAAGAAGGUAGUAGAAAAAAUGAGCUUUUCUCCAAAAUGCCCAACUAUACAUAAGCAUUACUUUACCUCGGAUCCGAGCCACUUUGAACAUAUCCGAGAUGUUACUGCUCGAGUUUGAGAACAAUCGGAUGUUUUCGGAGAUGUUACCGCAGGGUUUGAAUUUUGACAUUUUUCGAUUCUGAGGGUAAUAUCAGUGAAUGUAUUCCAGUUGUUUUGUAAAAAUGUACAAUGUAAAUUACAUAGGUAUCAUCUUUUUCAGUGUCCAGAAAAUGUUGUAAAAGUAUAUACGUCAUACGCCAUAUACAAUCAUUUAGCAAAUAUAUAGAUCUUUUCAGAAAAUGUAAAUCAAAGGAAGAACAACGAAAUGCUGCAAAAAAAGAAAUUGAGAAGUAAACCUAUUGCCUACAUAAGAAAUAGAACAAUAUUAUUAUUUUUAUUACCUUUAAAAUAACUGUAUACUUCCAUCAGUGUUAAUUAAUUUUUAAUAUUUAUAGGACGGACACCAUAGCCAUAAAAGUUAAAUUGUAAAACAUAAGAUGAUAAUAUUAAAUUAAAUUAAUAUCGCUAUUCGCUAUUCGCUUAAGUAGUAUAAUCAGAUUGUCAUAAUGAUUUUAAAUGCUAUUAAUACAAUCUAUAGUAAGUACGUAAACGCUAUCCCGAUGCGAGCAAACACGUAUCUAUUGACCAAUUCAGUUUAAACGGACCUCCUAGUACAAAGGGUUGUUCUUAGAUCAGCAACACAUUAUUUUAGCUUACCCAAAACCCACUCCAGCUUUGCUCGAAGUCAUAGAAAAAACACCACCCCGCUAAUAGACAAAUCCAAUUAAACAGAAAGAAAGAAACCUAGCCAGUUCGCAUAAAAUAAUUUCUUUUAAAAUCAAAUUAAUGUUAUGCCUUUCCUUUUUACUCCACUCUAUAUACUCCAGCAGUGUUUUUUUAUAUUCUAUGUUGCAUUGUAUCAUUGCUAAAUUAUUUAGAAAAAUAUCGACCCCACAUCCAAACCCCUUCUGAUUCUGUUCCUAUCCAUUCAACAUAAACAAUUAAGAGAGAGAGAGAGAAAAAAAGAGAAGGUAUUCAUCUGAGCAGCACAUUGAUUAUUCAUUUGUUUGUUUCAUUUAAAUUUUUCGCUGGAAUCAUUGAAGUAUUUUUUCUUGCUCUUUUUAAAAAUCUGGUUUUUAGAUAUCGUAAAAUGCAAUUGAUCAGCUUUAAUUAACCCCAAAGGCCAAACGAAGAAUGAAAAUAGAGGUUAUGGGUACACUGUUAAAAUCAAAAUGGAUUUUGAAACUCAAAAGCUUAUGAAGCUGAAAAAUCUGGAACAAAAUCUAGUCAGACUUUUGGAAAACAUCGACACAGAAAUCAUUCAGACGGAUGUAGAGUGGAUGCAACUUAAGAGUAUCGUGCAAAAACAAAACGGUUGUAAAGAGCCUCAGCUGGCCAAAGAAACCAAACCCCUUCCCAAUGUCCCACAUUUGGAUGACGAAACAAUAAAUUUAGCCAGAAUGGAUCUGGUUUUAGAGGCCUGCAAGUUGGACGAUCAGGAAUUUGAAAGUGAUUAAAUUUUGUUUUUUGAAAUAUCUUUAUUUCAGAAAAUAUAUAUGUAUAUUCAA
Long non-coding RNA from Cylas formicarius (sweet potato weevil), 2117 nucleotides. RefSeq lists it as uncharacterized. NCBI's taxonomy places the organism in Eukaryota, Metazoa, Arthropoda, Insecta, Coleoptera, Brentidae. The record is from RefSeq and is a predicted model, not a curated record. The transcript is spliced from 2 exons.